Molecule: long non-coding RNA, 415 nt
Filed under: Fragaria vesca (wild strawberry)
Lineage: Eukaryota; Viridiplantae; Streptophyta; Magnoliopsida; Rosales; Rosaceae
Description: long non-coding RNA (FVES_LNC000274)
Source: RNAcentral
UCCCAACUGAAAUUAAAUCAUGGCUCCACAAUUUUUCAAGUACUUCUCAUCAUGUCAAAGGUUUCUAACUUCAUACAUGAAAGUCAAGUCAGUCUACAUAUAUUAUACAUGCUUCUCCACAAUGGCAGCAAUCUCACAAUCAUCAUCAGGGGUGUCUCCCAAACUAUAAUGAGAACUUUGCACUGAAAAAGGUGUCUUGAGAAUUAGGCUACAUUUUGGUGUUAAAUAGUUACCAUGAAUGGCUUCAUUCUAGGAACCAGAAGAUGCUUAAAUUGCUGUCCUGGUUGAAACUCUUUUUCGAUGAUAAGUCAAAUUAUCAGGUUCUUUCCUGGUUGAAACUCUUCGAGAAUAAGUCAAAUUAUCAGGUUCUUUCCUUUUUCUCUGUUCUUUGUGUUCAUUAGAACCAACAGAUGGU